UAAACGACUCUCGGCAACGGAUAUCUCGGCUCUCGCAUCGAUGAAGAGCGUAGCGAAAUGCGAUACUUGGCGUGAAUUGCAGAAUCCCGUGAACCAUCGAGUCUUUGAACGCAAGUUGCGCCCGAAGCCGUCAGGCCGAGGGCACGUCUGCCUGGGCGUCACAC
Molecule: ribosomal RNA, 164 nt
Filed under: Polylepis pauta
Lineage: Eukaryota; Viridiplantae; Streptophyta; Magnoliopsida; Rosales; Rosaceae
Description: 5.8S ribosomal RNA
Rfam family: 5.8S ribosomal RNA
About the family: 5.8S ribosomal RNA (5.8S rRNA) is a component of the large subunit of the eukaryotic ribosome. It is transcribed by RNA polymerase I as part of the 45S precursor that also contains 18S and 28S rRNA.
Source: RNAcentral